UCCGUAGGGGGCAAGCGUUGUCCGGAAUCAUUGGGCGUAAAGAGCGUGUAGGCGGCUUGGUAAGUCCGCUGUGAAAGUCCAGGGCUCAACCCUGGAAUGCCGGUGGAAACUGUCAAGCUCGAGUCCGGAAGAGGCGAGUGGAAUUCCUGGUGUAGCGGUGAAAUGCGCAGAUAUCAGGAGGAACGCCAAUUGCGAAGGCAGCUCGCUGGGACGUUACUGACGCUGAGACGCGAAAGCGUGGGGAGCAAACAGG
This 253-nucleotide ribosomal RNA is filed under the name uncultured bacterium. RNAcentral's name for it is "partial 16S ribosomal RNA". It matches the Rfam family "Bacterial small subunit ribosomal RNA", at positions 524 to 776 of the family's 1533-position model. The record is from RNAcentral.